UACGAAGGGUGCGAGCGUUGUUCGGAAUUAUUGGGCGUAAAGGGUUCGUAGGCGGGAGUGUAAGUCAAGUGUGAAAUCCCUGGGCUCAACCCAGGACGUGCAUUUGAGACUGCAUUUCUUGAAUGUUGGAGAGGAUAGUGGAAUUGCUGGUGUAGGAGUGACAUCCGUAGAGAUCAGCAGGAACACCGGAGGCGAAAGCGACUGUCUGGCCAAGCAUUGACGCUGAGGAACGAAAGCGUGGGGAGCAAACAGG
RNAcentral lists this ribosomal RNA (253 nucleotides) under uncultured bacterium. RNAcentral describes it as "partial 16S ribosomal RNA". It matches the Rfam family "Bacterial small subunit ribosomal RNA", at positions 524 to 776 of the family's 1533-position model. The record is from RNAcentral.